Non-coding RNA from Dallia pectoralis (Alaska blackfish), 75 nucleotides. Lineage: Eukaryota; Metazoa; Chordata; Actinopteri; Esociformes; Umbridae. The record is from the annotation of a GenBank genome assembly.
GGUCCUGUGUAGCUCUGUUGGUUGAGCGUGGUGCUUGCAACGCCAGAGGUUGUGGGUUUGAUUCCUACAGGACCC